This 329-nucleotide ribosomal RNA is filed under the name uncultured eukaryote. Its description in RNAcentral is "partial 18S ribosomal RNA". It matches the Rfam family "Eukaryotic small subunit ribosomal RNA", at positions 1470 to 1796 of the family's 1831-position model. The record is from RNAcentral.
CCCUUAGAUGUUCUGGGCCGCACGCGCGCUACACUGAUGCAUUCAACGAGUCUAAAACCUGCUCUGAUAGGGGUGGGUAAUCUUUUGAAUGUGCAUCGUGAUUGGGAUAGAUGAUUGCAAUUUUUCAUCUUCAACGAGGAAUGCCUAGUAAACGCAAGUCAUCAGCUUGCAUUGAUUACGUCCCUGCCCUUUGUACACACCGCCCGUCGCUCCUACCGAUUGAAUGAUCCGAUGAAUAUCAUGGAUUCAGGAUGCAAGUAGGUUCGCCUAUCUUCAUCUUCGAGAAGUGAAGUAAAUCUUAUCAUUUAGAGGAAGGAGAAGUCGUAACA